Lucilia sericata (common green bottle fly) is the source of this 815-nucleotide long non-coding RNA. RefSeq lists it as uncharacterized. The record is from RefSeq and is a predicted model, not a curated record. The transcript has 6 exons. Lineage: Eukaryota; Metazoa; Arthropoda; Insecta; Diptera; Calliphoridae.
UUUAAAAUAUUCCAACAGAUUUAUUUUAAACAGUCAACAAGUUAUUAGGGAAUAAAUAAAACAAAAAUUAUAAAUUAACAUUUCCGUCUAGUUUCACAGCAUAUGGCAACUAUGUUUCUUUACACACUUCCUUUUGUCCUUAGUUCGUUGUUUUUCUCGCCGGUAAAAUAUUGUUCGUGAAAAAGUGUAGUUUUUUAAAUUAAUAUUUCUAUAGGAAAUAAUUCAUGAAAUAAUAUAAAAUUAGUGUUAAAUUAAAGAAAAUUUAAUUGUCUCUUCGGGUAAUAUGAAAUAAUAUGGCUAAUCAAGUUAUUUAAAGAAAUAUUUUAGUGUAAAGAAAUAGUGCAAAAAGUAUGUGUGUUUGUCGUUUGCUAAUGUAAUCUUUGUUUUUUUUGUUGCAAAAAACGCGCAAAGCUUAUAUGAAGAAAGGCAAAAGAAAAAGAGUGAAAUAAGAAAAAUUCAAAAGAGAAAAUUAUUAAAAAUGUAGGAAAUUUAAAAUUCAAAUUUAAAAAUUAGAAAAUUAAAUGAAGUAAAAUAUAUGAAAAAAUAAAUUAAAAAGUUCAUUUAAAAGUAUAAAAUCAAAUUUUAAAAUAAAAUUAAUUGGUAAUUAAAUGUUCACAAUCGAAAAAACAGAGGAAAUUUUAAAAUUACGGAUGAACGGAUCGGGGAAAGAAUAAGGAAAAACAAAUUGAUGUUUUUCAUUCAACAAGCUGUAAUAACUGGGCAGGGAACAUCUUACGUUUUUGUGGCACAAAAGAAAAUCAUGUUCGUAUUGGAAAUUUCAAAAGGAAAAAUCGAAAUGAGUAAUUAUAUAUCAU